This 604-nucleotide ribosomal RNA is filed under the name uncultured bacterium. RNAcentral's name for it is "bacterial SSU rRNA". It matches the Rfam family "Bacterial small subunit ribosomal RNA", at positions 202 to 803 of the family's 1533-position model. The record is from RNAcentral.
UAAAGGAAGCGAUUCCGGCUACGGAUGGUCAUGCGUCGCAUUAGCUAGUUGGCGGGGUAACGGCCCACCAAGGCGACGAUGCGUAGGGGUUCUGAGAGGAAGGUCCCCCACACUGGUACUGAGACACGGACCAGACUCCUACGGGAGGCAGCAGUGAGGAAUAUUGGUCAAUGGCCGCAGGGCUGAACCAGCCAAGUCGCGUGAGGGAUGACGGUCCUAUGGAUUGUAAACCUCUUUUGUCAGGGAGCAAAGGGCGCCACGUGUGGCGUUUUGCGAGUACCUGAAGAAAAAGCAUCGGCUAACUCCGUGCCAGCAGCCGCGGUAAUACGGAGGAUGCGAGCGUUAUCCGGAUUUAUUGGGUUUAAAGGGUGCGCAGGCGGAAUGUCAAGUCAGCGGUAAAAUUUCGGGGCUCAACCCCGUCGUGCCGUUGAAACUGGCGUUCUUGAGUGAGCGAGAAGUAUGCGGAAUGCGUGGUGUAGCGGUGAAAUGCAUAGAUAUCACGCAGAACUCCGAUUGCGAAGGCAGCAUACCGGCGCUCAACUGACGCUCAUGCACGAAAGCGUGGGUAUCGAACAGGAUUAGAUACCCUGGUAGUCCACGCAGU